CAUAUGAUUAUUGGUGUACUUCUCAUGAAAUUGCCUGUUUAUUUAUACAUAUUGAUCGUUAAAUAUAUAGUUCAUGCUUGCAUUUAUAGUCUGUUCAUUCUAUCUAACUAUCCCGUUGGGGUAGCCCAUAUGUGUUGCCCCCUCUCCCGCAACAUAUAUUUUUGGCGGCCA
Molecule: long non-coding RNA, 171 nt
Organism: Hyalella azteca
Lineage: Eukaryota; Metazoa; Arthropoda; Malacostraca; Amphipoda; Hyalellidae
Exons: 3
Source: RefSeq, a predicted model, not a curated record